Long non-coding RNA from Daphnia carinata, 1631 nucleotides. RefSeq lists it as uncharacterized. The record is from RefSeq and is a predicted model, not a curated record. The transcript has 2 exons. Lineage: Eukaryota; Metazoa; Arthropoda; Branchiopoda; Diplostraca; Daphniidae.
GAAGUUGAAGGAUUCUAGUGAGCGUGUUUGGUGAAAGUCUAACCUUUCUAUUAUUGCAGGGAUAUUUAACUAGGACGCAGAUGCUGUUUGACGGCUUAAUUUUUCCGCUUUCAUUUUCGAAACUACGCAACAGUUUCCCUCACGGCCAAUAGGUGGUCUAGAAAUUUUUAAUCAGCUGUUGAACUUCAAAACAACAGUCGACGAUAAGCUUUUAGGGGGCGUUUCAGCAUCGAAGAGAAACUAGAGAAAGAUUUGCUGCAUUUCAGAAGUUUUCAGUGUUUAUAUGCGACUAAAGCAAAUGUGAAAAUGGCUAGUUUUGUUAAUAUGCUGCCGAAGUAAAAUGUGCAAAUGGCUAGUUUUUUUAGCCAUUUAAAAAUAAUAUGUCACUAGUAAUUAACCUUUACGGCAAACAGGUUCCCCUUGAUGUGCAAAUGUGAAAUCGGGUGUUAGUGCAAAAUUGUGAAUGGUAUUAAGAAAUGAAACUAGAAAAUUCCCGUUAGCUCUGAGAACGCAGCUCAAGGGAACGAUUCCUAUUUCUGGCCGGAUAAAAGUCCAUUACAAUGAACAAUAACAAUGAUAAUCUACAGUUAAGAUUCUUCUCAACUGACAAGAUUGAGUGCCUCCAGUUGCAAGAUAAAUAUGUGGGAGGAUUCGGCAACGGCUGAUGCCUGCCAUAUUAUCGAACACCAGUAUUUACUUUACUACCGUGGUUGAAUAAGAUUUACUUUUACAUUAUGUAGUACGUGCAGAAAGACAUGCAGGUAUUCCACUUGGUUAUACUACUUAUACAACAACAGGAGAAAUAUACACAAAUCGUUUGUACAAAUAUAUAUAAUAUAUGUAAUAGAAUAAUAUGCUUUUCUUUUCUUUUUCAAGCAAUUUUGCAUUUAAUCAUUUGCAAUUUAAACUUUUUUUUUGUUUUCAUUUUUUUGUUUGUUUUUUUAUAUUAUUUUUUCAAUGCUUUUAAUUUAAAUUUUCAAUUAUUAUUAAAAAAUUUAAUGAAGUUGAAGCUGACACAUCGUUAAUUCUUUUUCGUAAAGAAAUAAUGGUCAUCGUCCAACUUGUGUAUAAAUUGAUAUAUAAAAUUCACAUGUUUGUAUUAGAAUUCGCUGUGAAACUCGAUCCCCAUUACGCCAUGUAUGAGAUGGCGAAAAUUAGACGCUGCGUCGCGGUUGAUCUACAGUCAUCCAGUCUACAUGAGCUUAUAAGGGGCAAAAAGAAACAUCUUGUAAAUGUAAGAAAGUUAUCUCAAAAAUGAGAUAGUGUAGAGAUUGUACAUGCAACUAUCACCUGUAAUGAUGGCGUGAGAAAAUUAUCAUCAUAUUUUCAUAAAAUGAAUCAAUCCGAUGUGGAACACAUUGUUCAUUUGUUAUAUUCGAAAUUUUCGACGGUUCUCAUCAUCUAUGGGCAUCCAACACACACUAUCAAUUGACGAUCGAGCCGCCAACCCGCCCUAGUCAUUUAGGCAAUGGCACAUGCACUAAACGGAGGGAGAAUUCAGAUGUUUAGUUACGUUUAUUAUUAAUGUUCGUUGAUUGCUGUUGUAUGUUGUAAUUUUUAUUUAGAAGUAAAAAAUGAGCUUUGUUCAUUCGAAAACUGUGUCUAGGAAAAUGUGAAAUUUUAGAAACCAA